AGAGUUUGAUCCUGGCUCAGGAUGAACGCUAGCGACAGGCUUAACACAUGCAAGUCGAGGGGCAGCGGGGUAGGAAGCUUGCUUUCUGCCGCCGGCGACCGGCGCACGGGUGAGUAACACGUAUGCAACCUGGCCGUGACAGAUGGAUAACCGGGAGAAAUCCCGCCUAAUACAACAUAAUGCCGGGAGGGGACAUCCCCUGCCGGCCAAAGGGGGCGACCCCGGUCACGGAUGGGCAUGCGGCGCAUUAGGUAGUUGGUGGGGCAACGGCCCACCAAGCCGACGAUGCGUAGGGGUUCUGAGAGGAAGGUCCCCCACAUUGGAACUGAGACACGGUCCAAACUCCUACGGGAGGCAGCAGUGAGGAAUAUUGGUCAAUGGCCGGAAGGCUGAACCAGCCAAGUCGCGUGAGGGAAUAAGGCCCUACGGGUCGUAAACCUCUUUUGCCAGGGAGCAAUGCCGUCCACGUGUGGACGGAAGGAGAGUACCUGGAGAAAAAGCAUCGGCUAACUCCGUGCCAGCAGCCGCGGUAAUACGGAGGAUGCGAGCGUUAUCCGGAUUUAUUGGGUUUAAAGGGUGCGUAGGCGGCCUGCCAAGUCAGCGGUAAAAUUGCGGGGCUCAACCCCGUACAGCCGUUGAAACUGCCGGGCUCGAGUGGGCGAGAAGUAUGCGGAAUGCGUGGUGUAGCGGUGAAAUGCAUAGAUAUCACGCAGAACCCCGAUUGCGAAGGCAGCAUACCGGCGCCCGACUGACGCUGAGGCACGAAAGUGCGGGGAUCAAACAGGAUUAGAUACCCUGGUAGUCCGCACAGUAAACGAUGAAUGC
RNAcentral lists this ribosomal RNA (825 nucleotides) under uncultured bacterium. RNAcentral describes it as "bacterial SSU rRNA". It matches the Rfam family "Bacterial small subunit ribosomal RNA", at positions 8 to 816 of the family's 1533-position model. The record is from RNAcentral.